AUUGAACGCUGGCGGCAGGCCUAACACAUGCAAGUCGGGCGGAGGGGCGCACGUGUGAGAAUGUAUGGGAAUCGGCCGUAUGGAGGGGAAUAACUAUGGAAAACGGUAGCUAAUACCGAAUACAUUCGCUUGCACCAGUAUGGGAUUGGCUGGGAGGGGAGGUAACGGCUCACCUAGGCGACGAUCCCUAGCUGGUCUGAGAGGAUGAUCAGCCACACUGGGACUGAGACACGGCCCAGACGCCUACGGGAGGCAGCAGUGGGGAAUAUUGGACAAUGGGCGAAAGCCUGAUCCAGCCAUGCCGCGUGUGUGAAGAAGGUCUUCGGAUUGUAAAGCACUUUAAGUUGGGAGGCGUUACCAACAGAAUAAGCACCGGCUAACUUCGUGCCAGCAGCCGCGGUAAUUC
Molecule: ribosomal RNA, 406 nt
Filed under: uncultured bacterium
Lineage: Bacteria
Description: partial 16S ribosomal RNA
Rfam family: Bacterial small subunit ribosomal RNA
Source: RNAcentral